CCCUUGCCUGCCCCAUCGGAGCCGCCGGAGGUGGAGUCCGCCCCCCGGACCCCCGAACUCCUGUGCGUGCCCCUCCAUGGUGCUCUAGGCUGUGGAGGGCAAGGCCAGUCCCCGGGAGCAGGGUGAGGAAGGGGCCCCCACGCAGCCCUGCUGUGGAUUGGCGGGAGGACCCCAGGCUGGGCCAACCCAGCAGCCCGCGGCCAGGAGCGGGCAUCCCAAUGGGGAAAUCGGCCAGGAGGGGCUGGGGAAGCUGGUGCCUUCGCCCGCGCCCCGUGAGCUUUACCUCCGUGCGACAAGAGCGGUGGCUCCGGGCGGGGCCCACGCAGCUGGAGCCUCCAUCUCUCCUGCGGGACCAGAGCACCGGGAAGACCUGACCGAGACCCAACGUCCCUGCCCCCGUUCUGGGGCUCUCUGCAGGCCCCAACUUCUGCGGGACUCUCCAGUGGGAGCAGCAAGGGUUCUCAGGAACAACCCCUAUACAAACCGGGACAGAGGCACCUCACUACUCCUUCUGUGCCCCACCUUCUCCACUGACCCUGCCGGAGUGCAGCACACACAGCAAGCAUUUAAUAAAUCGCUUGAAGUGGGGAACAUCUGUACUCGGUAAAGAAACCACAGGAAUUGGGAACUGCCGGUUGAAGAUUAUUUACCAGUUCCAGCAAAAUUGACUGCACCUGCCAUACUGCAGGCCGGUGCAGCAUCAGGAGCUGGAGACCAGGGGCAACAGGCAGCACGCGUGCUCCAGCUCAGAGUGGAAGGCCCUGGGAAAUGGUUUGAUUUCCUGCGCUGAACUGAUGCUGCUUCCAGAAUGAAUCUGCUCCUUGGUGGGUUCUGCUGAUGUGGCCAGUGCUAGCCUAGGCCACGACCACCUAGCCCACCACCCAGAAGGCAGCAUCCCCUGCUCCUGCUUUAACAAGCUGGCCCAUUUUCAUCUCUCCUACCUCUGGGAGUAGCAGGGGCGCUCCCGGAAGCUGACACCCCCUCCACAGGUCCGGCUGCAGGGGCUCCACUGGCUCCAGGGUCCCCAGGUGUCACUCUGCCGCCUCACCUUGGGAGCCUGCAGAAGACAGGACCAUGCAUCAGCAUUGCCCACUCACAGCCUGAGCCCAGAGGCCCCUCCAAAGAUGCUCUGCCUAAAACCCUCCCCUACCCAUCAAGGAGUCUGGGAUUCUCCCUUCCAGGGCCCACCUUUAGGACUCAGCAACACUGCCGGGCACCCCAAAACAUAUUCCUUUUCAGAAUUAGCCUGCUUUCCUCAUAAGGAGCUGAGAGCCAGGCCUGGAGGGCGGGAGCAGGAGCAGCUGGGAAGAGUUUGGAGUUUCAGGGGCCACUGGAGGGGAGGGACCCUACAGCCAGGGGCAGUUUGAGGGUCCAGGCAUUUGUAGGUUAACCGUGAUGUAGGGGAGGGGGGCCUAAAAGAAAAUAAAGGGAAGCAACGUGGGGGGAUCCUGCUAAUCUGGCCGAGACUCCCAGGAGUACCCCAAUAUUCAUCCCCUCCUUCUCCCAUUGUGAGAGAAUGCUUGAAAACUUGACUCAGCUGGGUACCUGGCUGCCCAAAAUUUAAAAAAAAAAUACAUUUCCUGGACUGCCUGCAGCUAACUGUGGCUACAUCACUUAGUUCUCAUCAGUGAGAUGUAAAUACAAGUGUUGGGCAGCUGCCGCAAAUAAUCUCCUCAAGAGAGA
Molecule: long non-coding RNA, 1683 nt
Filed under: Homo sapiens (human)
Lineage: Eukaryota; Metazoa; Chordata; Mammalia; Primates; Hominidae
Description: non-protein coding lnc-NUMB-3:2
Source: RNAcentral